This 586-nucleotide ribosomal RNA is filed under the name Pseudomonas sp. StFLB017. RNAcentral's name for it is "bacterial SSU rRNA". It matches the Rfam family "Bacterial small subunit ribosomal RNA", at positions 102 to 683 of the family's 1533-position model. Lineage: Bacteria; Pseudomonadati; Pseudomonadota; Gammaproteobacteria; Pseudomonadales; Pseudomonadaceae. The record is from RNAcentral. RNAcentral also lists the same sequence under 1 other name.
ACGGGUGAGUAAUGCCUAGGAAUCUGCCUGGUAGUGGGGGACAACGUUUCGAAAGGAACGCUAAUACCGCAUACGUCCUACGGGAGAAAGCAGGGGACCUUCGGGCCUUGCGCUAUCAGAUGAGCCUAGGUCGGAUUAGCUAGUUGGUGAGGUAAUGGCUCACCAAGGCGACGAUCCGUAACUGGUCUGAGAGGAUGAUCAGUCACACUGGAACUGAGACACGGUCCAGACUCCUACGGGAGGCAGCAGUGGGGAAUAUUGGACAAUGGGCGAAAGCCUGAUCCAGCCAUGCCGCGUGUGUGAAGAAGGUCUUCGGAUUGUAAAGCACUUUAAGUUGGGAGGAAGGGUUGUAGAUUAAUACUCUGCAAUUUUGACGUUACCGACAGAAUAAGCACCGGCUAACUCUGUGCCAGCAGCCGCGGUAAUACAGAGGGUGCAAGCGUUAAUCGGAAUUACUGGGCGUAAAGCGCGCGUAGGUGGUUUGUUAAGUUGGAUGUGAAAUCCCCGGGCUCAACCUGGGAACUGCAUCCAAAACUGGCAAGCUAGAGUAUGGUAGAGGGUGGUGGGAAUUUCCUGUGUAGCGGUG